UCACGAAGAAGUGCAGAAAUCAAGUUCAGUAACAACAGAGAAUAUGGUUCGUAGAAAUUUGAAAGAUGAAUCUGUUUCAAACAUGUCGAUAUCAUGACAGAUCAGCCAAAUUGAUUCACAGCCGUUUAAUUCAAUGUCUUCACGUCGACACAGAUCGAUAAGGGUACCUGGUUUUGCUGUGAUGACUGCAUCUAUCAAACAAUUUCACGUUUCUUUCUCAGUUGAGCAUUUCCUUCUCACCACGCACCUAAUUGCUUGCUCAGUUUUCCUGUCAAAUCAACCUGCGUAGGGUUUUCCUUUAUCUUCAUCUUUCUUACGCGUGUGCUCACAGCACAGUACAUCUAACAAUCACAGCCGUUCUUCAAAUUUGGCCACCUUCUUUAUAUACCAAACCAUCUCUGCUCCUACUUCCCUCAACUCAAAGCAAACACCCAUCUUGGCUAGCUAGCUUUCCGUACCUCUUCGAGUACUAAUAUCACUACUCCAACUUUUCUGGGUGGCCGGUGCUAUUGAGCUAGAGCUAGCUAGUUCUUCUGAGGUCCCUUCAAUCAGCUAUAUAGAUAGCUAGCAAUGGCCGGCUUAGAUACUUUCAAAGACCAGCAGGGCUAUCAAGAAGAAAAGAACCAAACGAUGACAGAAACUUGUACGAUGGAUGGAGCCGUUGAUUGGAAUGGCCGCCCUGCAAUCCGAGGGAGAACUGGUUCUUGGGUUGCUGCAAUUCUCAUAUUAGUGAAUCAAGGAUUGGCAACAUUGGCAUUUUUUGGAGUAGGAGUGAACUUGGUAUUGUUCUUGACAAGGGUACUGGGACAAGACAACGCUGAGGCUGCAAACAAUGUCAGCAAAUGGACCGGAACAGUUUACAUUUUCUCUCUUCUUGGGGCUUUUCUUAGUGAUGCUUACUGGGGGAGAUACAAAACUUGUGCUAUCUUUCAAGUUAUUUUUGUUAUUGGCUUGACAUUAUUGUCACUAACAACCUACCUAUUCCUGCUCAAGCCUAAAGGUUGCGGUGAUGAGCAAUCUCCAUGUGGAGACCAUUCGAAUUUUGAAUUCGGCUUGUUUUACAUCUCCAUAUAUCUCAUUGCACUAGGGAAUGGAGGCUACCAACCUACCAUAGCUACAUUUGGAGCGGAUCAGUUUGAUGAGGACGACCCCAAAGAAGGUCACUCGAAAAUUGCCUUCUUCAGCUAUUUCUACUUGGCUUUGAAUCUUGGCUCCCUCUUUUCUAACACAGGAUUAGGGUAUUUUGAGGAUAAAGGAAUAUGGACUGUAGGGUUUUGGGCAUCUACAGGCUCUGCUGGCAUGGCAUUGAUUUUGUUUCUUUGCGGAACUCCAAGGUAUAGGCAUUUUAAGCCUCAGGGCAAUCCUCUUUCUAGGUUAUGUCACGUACUGGUUGCUGCAACAAGAAAAUGGAAGGUCAAGAUCACGUCAGAUGGACAUGACUUGUAUGAGGAACACGGGAAACAAUGCUCUGAAAAUCAGAGUAGGAAAAUACUUCACACCCGAGGAAUCAAGUUCUUGGAUAGGGCAGCAAUCGUCACAUCAGAGAAGUUCAACCAAAUAGACGGAUGUGCUCCAAAUCCAUGGCAGCUUUGCACAGUGACACAAGUAGAAGAAGUUAAAUGCGUACUGAGAUUACUUCCAAUUUGGCUAUGUACAAUACUAUACUCAGUAGUUUUCACACAAAUGGCCUCCCUCUUUGUAGAACAAGGUGCCGUAAUGAAAACCACCAUCUCCAAGUUCCACAUUCCUCCAGCUGGUAUGUCAAGUUUCGACAUCCUCAGUGUGGCAAUUUUUAUCUUCAUUUACCGGCGAUUUCUCGACCCACUCGUUAUCAGGUUACGAAAAAAAGGUCUCACCGAGCUUCAAAGAAUGGGGAUUGGUCUUGUCAUUGCCAUCAUGGCUAUGCUCUCAGCAGGAGUUGUGGAGUGUUUUAGGUUAAAAUAUGCAAGAACAAAUUGCGUCACUACCGAUUGUGAGAGUCGAAGUUCUUUGAGCAUAUUUUGGCAAGUUCCUCAAUAUGUGCUCGUCGGAGCUUCCGAAGUGUUCAUGUACGUGGGUCAGCUAGAAUUCUUCAACAGUCAAGCACCUGAUGGGUUAAAGAGCUUCGGUAGUGCACUUUGCAUGACUUCAAUAUCACUUGGAAACUAUGUGAGUAGUUUGCUGGUUACGAUAGUGAUGAAGUUUUCUAGUAGGGAUAAUAUAUUUGGAUGGAUACCUGGAAACCUUAACAAAGGUCAUCUGGAUAGGUUUUACUUUCUCUUAGCGGCUUUGACUACAGCUGAUCUCAUGGUCUAUAUAGUUUGUGCCAAGUGGUACAAGUAUAUCAAGUUUGAAGCAAAGGGAGGAGAUGAUCACAAUGAAAAUAUUAGGCAAGCUGAACUUGGAGUCUGAUCAGUUUCUGAAAUAUUUGCAAUGUGUGGGCUAAUAAAGCAAAGAUGCAUGGGAUAAGUCGUACAACUAAUUUCGGUAGAAUUUCUUUUUUAUUACGACAUAAGAACUGUUAUUGUACAACAACUCCUGAGUGGAAUUCUAGAUUUUCCACUUUAAAAUGGGAUACGAAAGCCACUAAACUUAGUAUUGGACCACUUAAUUCGGUAGAACAAACAUUGCUUGCUAUCACUACUACAAAAAAGGCCCAGAUCAAAUAGGGACAAAUACUAAUCUGUGCCUUUUAAGCAAUGAAUGGAGACAGAAUGGGCACAGAUGCCAUUGUGAAUUGUACAUAACCUUUAUUCAACCCUAACUUCUACCUCUCCUGACAUUUACUGAGGUGACCUAGUGUUUCAUCUAGAACGCGCCUCAAGCGUGAGAGGAUGUUGGUUUCGUGCCUUUUGUUGUGGGGUUUGUUACCCGAUGGUGGCUCUGUGUUUUGCAGAUCAGGUGUGUCUAGUGCGGUGAGGCCAUAGAUCUUGGAAGGCAUUAGAGAAAUUGAAGAACUUAAAAAGCUUCUCAAAUGCUGCUAAUCCGAAGAACAUAUCAAGGGCACUCACAAGUCCCGGAAAGGAUUGAGCAGAAGUGAAUGCUUUGGUAUUCAAAGUCCCGAUGGCACCUUGGAGAGGUAAGGAGUAUGAAGCGCGCUAGAGAUAUUAGAGACCAGCUCAAGGGACUCAUAGAGAGGGUCGAGCCUGAGCAGGUCUCA
RNA transcript from Rosa chinensis, 3139 nucleotides. It is a transcript of the gene named protein NRT1/ PTR FAMILY 7.2, with no coding region annotated. The transcript has 6 exons. The record is from RefSeq and is a predicted model, not a curated record. Lineage: Eukaryota; Viridiplantae; Streptophyta; Magnoliopsida; Rosales; Rosaceae.